This 366-nucleotide ribosomal RNA is filed under the name uncultured bacterium. Its description in RNAcentral is "partial 16S ribosomal RNA". It matches the Rfam family "Bacterial small subunit ribosomal RNA", at positions 338 to 701 of the family's 1533-position model. The record is from RNAcentral.
CCUACGGGUGGCAGCAGUGAGGAAUAUUGGUCAAUGGCCGUAAGGCUGAACCAGCCAAGUCGCGUGAAGGAAGAAGGAGCGAUGGUUUGUAAACUUCUGGUAUAGGGGAAUAAAGGAAGCCACGUGUGGAUAUUUGCAUGUACCCUAUGAAUAAGCAUCGGCUAACGCCGUGCCAGCAGCCGCGGUAAUACGGAGGAUGCGAGCGUUAUCCGGAUUUAUUGGGUUUAAAGGGUGCGUAGAUUGUUUUUUUAGUCAGCGGUGAAAGUUUGUGGCUCAACCAUACAAUUGCCGUUGAAACUGGAAGCCUUGAGUGUGUUUGAGGUAGGCGGAAUGCGUGGUGUCGCGGUGAAAUGCAUAGAUAUCACG